UACGAAAGGGGCUAGCGUUGUUCGGAUUUACUGGGCGUAAAGCGCACGUAGGCGGAUCGUUAAGUCGGGGGUGAAAUCCUGGAGCUCAACUCCAGAACUGCCUUUGAUACUGGCGAUCUCGAGUCCGGGAGAGGUGAGUGGAACUGCGAGUGUAGAGGUGAAAUUCGUAGAUAUUCGCAAGAACACCAGUGGCGAAGGCGGCUCACUGGCCCGGUACUGACGCUGAGGUGCGAAAGCGUGGGGAGCAAACAGGG
This 254-nucleotide ribosomal RNA is filed under the name uncultured bacterium. Its description in RNAcentral is "partial 16S ribosomal RNA". It matches the Rfam family "Bacterial small subunit ribosomal RNA", at positions 524 to 777 of the family's 1533-position model. The record is from RNAcentral.